ACAAAGUAAUAAUCAAAAGACCAAUUGGGAAGGCUUUUACAAGAGAUUUAAAGAUUAACAGGGUGGGUCUUUAAAGAAUACGUCGUUUGGGGACAUGGUGAACACCACACUAGACAAAGUCAAAGAGAGGGAAGGAAAGAGUUAUUUUAGGAGCUUAAAAAUAAUGGAUAAAUGAUCAAAAUAAAACACAGGUAAGCAUGUUCGUAAAGGUUAUAAAACUAUCUGAUAGCAGCGGGAUGUUCCCAUGACAACAGUUGCACAUACGUUUAAAACAACUUCCAAAAAUGUUACAGGUGAACUCUAAGAAAUAAGCAUUCAUCAUCACUGUUGGACUCAAAGUGGGUUUCCUCCCAUUAAAUCCAAUGUCAUGUGCAUUGUGAAACAUUGUAUGUAUGGGUUUGUUUCCUCAAUUGUAUUCUCUUGACAUGCCACAAAGCCUUCCAGAUAAAACUGCAGCUUUUCGGUAACAAAAGAUGUGAACAGACUUCUGGGGAAGUUGUACGUAAAGAGUUCUGGCAAUUUUUCUUGGUGGCAUGUUCUGCUCCAGGUAUAACUUAGCAAAAAUAUGGGUUGUUGUUUUUAAACCUUUUUUCAAACUUAGUUCUGUGGUUUUUGGAUAAAAUGCAGGAAAAAAACAGGAAACAGCAGAAAACCAACCCUGAGUUUGACCCACAAAAAGAAAAGAUUUUUGUUUAGGCUGAUCAUAUCUGCACAGAUAUAUGUGCGACCAUGCACAAAAGCUGAUGGUAAUUCACGGUGGCCACACGUAAUACGUCCGGGCAAUAAGAUACACGUUUCUGCUUUCUAAAAAAAUUCUUUCUGUUCCUGUUUUCCUGCCACAAUUUGUGUCUACAACUUGUUCUCUACUCCACCACACCUCUCAGUCACAACUCCAGAACAAAGGAUGGACGCAAGCAACAAUCCGUUUUCUGUCAUUUUGAAAAGAAUGGAGAGCCUUGUAGCAUCAAAUGUUAUCAUGGGAUUGUUUCUUGUUUUCUUUGAGAAGAUGCUGGACUCAGAAUUCUUGUGCCCUUGCUAUGAAGGAAGUGUGUGGAAUACUUUGUUUGUUUCUCUUUAUUUUUUGGGUCCAAUAGUUACAAUCUUUGCUUUAAUCCCCCGUGUGCUUGACUAUCCAAGCUGCUGUUGCAUUUGCUGUUGUUUAAUUUGCUUACAGACUUUAGUUCCUUCUCUUAUAUGGGUCAUCAUACUCUUGCUUGAUGGCCGAUAUGUAGCUUGUGCAAGCACAAACUGGUCUGGGAUUUAUGAAGCUACAGAUGGUGGUGGACUGAUGAGAUGGUGCAAACCAGACAACAACUCAUUUGAGAAGCUAAGCUAUACCCAGAGAGCGUACACAGUCUCUCAGUGCAGUGGAUUUGGGCUCUGCAUUUGCUUUGGUCUGAUCUUAUCCUGCCGUUAAAUAAAGUGAAAUAAAGGAGUCAAGAAGGGAUGGAUUUGGAAGCACUUGACCUGAAGAUGGAACCUAUGUCAACAGAUCUGAUCGUUUCUUAGGAAAGAACUGUUCCAAAAAUGACUUAAUUAUAAAUUGUUCUUGCAUCUACUCUGUAGAUUGUCAUCUUGUGGUUAAAAUGAGUGAUAAAAAAUUGUAUUUACUCUCCUGAAAGAUCAAUCAAGUAGUGUAUGUUUGUUGUUCAAAAUAUAUUUGCUUUUUUCGAUUUAAUCCAUGAUUAAUGCUUGGUAUGUAAAAAGACUGUCAGUAAGAUACUUUGAAGAAAAACUGGGAAUUAUGCAGAGAUUAAAAGUAUCCUUUUGCUGACAAUGUUCAAUAAAUACAUUCAAUAAAUGUUCAUGUUCAAUAAAUAAGAUCAUAUCCAAA
This is a long non-coding RNA of Oryzias latipes (Japanese medaka), 1834 nucleotides long. RefSeq lists it as uncharacterized. NCBI's taxonomy places the organism in Eukaryota, Metazoa, Chordata, Actinopteri, Beloniformes, Adrianichthyidae. The record is from RefSeq and is a predicted model, not a curated record.